AUGGACCAUUCCAUCCCUUUUUCCCGUGCAUAUGCAUCGGACUCGGAUGACGAUGGUCCCGAUGAACAAGUUGAUGCGGAGGGGUUCACGGAUAAGGAGGCCGAAGCUUUCGAGAAGGUAUUUGGUCGGGAUCAUCGGACUACAUUGUUCAAGGAUGUUAGUCUCGCGGAUGAAGUCGUGGUAGAUGGUGGCCAAUGUGUACCUCUUGGGGUUAGGCCAAGCUCUCACCGUGAUUUGGUAGACGACAAGAACCGGAUUGCUAAAGGUUCUAAGUUCGACAGCUUGUUGGAUUUGAAGAUGUGGCUCGACAACUACUCGGUUACGCAUUAUCGUCCACACAAGGUGGUGCACUCGGACGUCAAUGUGCGCUACACGGUUGCAUGUGCAUGUGAAGAUGAAAAGGAGGUCCAACUUGGACUUACAAGAGGCCGUGGUGGUGGUAGAGGUCGUGGAAAGGAGGUCCAACAAGGAGUGGCAAGACGCCGUGGCGGUUGUCCGUGGAUUGUGCGUGCAAGACCAUGGAAAGGAGGUCCUACUUGGCAUGUAGUGAGUUGUGUGCCAACUCACAUGUGCCAAGGCAAAAGGGUGGAUGGCAAGAUUGUGUCCGAAGACCACAAACAACUCACGUCCGAGUUCAUAGCUUACAGGCUCUCCAACUCAAUAUCCACACUUCCAACAAUGAGCGUCCAACAUGUCAUUGACCUUGUGAAAGCCAUCUUUCAUUACAAGGUGAAAUACGGCAAGGCAUGGAAGGCGAAGCAAGCCGCAUUUAAGAUGUUGUAUGGUACAUGGGAGGAAGCAUACAAUUGA
This 810-nucleotide ribosomal RNA is filed under the name Triticum aestivum (bread wheat). RNAcentral describes it as "partial small subunit ribosomal RNA". Lineage: Eukaryota; Viridiplantae; Streptophyta; Magnoliopsida; Poales; Poaceae. The record is from RNAcentral.